Molecule: ribosomal RNA, 258 nt
Filed under: uncultured bacterium
Lineage: Bacteria
Description: partial 16S ribosomal RNA
Rfam family: Bacterial small subunit ribosomal RNA
Source: RNAcentral
UGGCGGACGGGUGAGUAACGCGUGGAAAACCUGCCGUAUACUGGGGGAUAACACUUUGAAAUAGGUGCUAAUACCGCAUAAGCGCACAGCUUCGCAUGAAGCGGUGUGAAAAACUCUGGUGGUAUACGAUGGUUCCGCGUCUGAUUAGCUAGUUGGUGGGGUAAUGGCCUACCAAGGCAACGAUCAGUAGCCGGACUGAGAGGUUGACCGGCCACAUUGGGACUGAGAUACGGCCCAGACUCCUACGGGAGGCAGCAG